RNAcentral lists this ribosomal RNA (393 nucleotides) under uncultured bacterium. Its description in RNAcentral is "partial 16S ribosomal RNA". It matches the Rfam family "Bacterial small subunit ribosomal RNA", at positions 523 to 918 of the family's 1533-position model. The record is from RNAcentral.
AUACGGGGGAUGCGAGCGUUAUCCGGAUUUAUUGGGUUUAAAGGGAGCGUAGGUGGGAUAUUAAGUCAGCUGUGAAAGUUUGGGGCUCAACCUUAAAAUUGCAGUUGAUACUGGUUUCCUUGAGUACGGUAUAGGUGGGCGGAAUUCGUGGUGUAGCGGUGAAAUGCUUAGAUAUCACGAAGAACUCCGAUCGCGAAGGCAGCUCACCGGGCCGGAACUGACACUGAUGCUCGAAAGUGCGGGUAUCAAACAGGAUUAGAUACCCUGGUAGUCCGCACAGUAAACGAUGAAUACUCGCUGUUUGCGAUACACUGUAAGCGGCCAAGCGAAAGCGUUAAGUAUUCCACCUGGGGAGUACGCCGGCAACGGUGAAACUCAAAUGAAUUGACGGGG